CCUACGGGAGGCAGCAGUGGGGAAUUUUGGACAAUGGGCGGAAGCCUGAUCCAGCCAUGCCGCGUGAGUGAAGAAGGCCUUCGGGUUGUAAAGCUCUUUCGGUGGGGAAGAAAUUGCAUGGGCUAAUACCCUGUGUAGAUGACGGUACCUGGAGAAGAAGCACCGGCUAACUACGUGCCAGCAGCCGCGGUAAUACGUAGGGUGCGAGCGUUAAUCGGAAUUACUGGGCGUAAAGCGUGCGCAGGCGGUUUGGUAAGUCAGAUGUGAAAUCCCCGGGCUCAACCUGGGAACUGCAUUUGAGACUGCCAAGCUGGAGUUUGGCAGAGGGGGGUGGAAUUCCACGUGUAGCAGUGAAAUGCGUAGAGAUGUGGAGGAACACCGAUGGCGAAGGCAGCCCCCUGGGCCAAUACUGACGCUCAUGCACGAAAGCGUGGGGAGCAAACAGGAUUAGAUACCCUGGUAGUCCACGCCCUAAACGAUGUCAACUAGGUGUUGGGAGGGUUAAACCUUUUAGUGCCGUAGCUAACGCGUGAAGUUGACCGCCUGGGGAGUACGGCCGCAAGGCUAAAACUCAAAGGAAUUGACGG
RNAcentral lists this ribosomal RNA (587 nucleotides) under uncultured bacterium. Its description in RNAcentral is "bacterial SSU rRNA". It matches the Rfam family "Bacterial small subunit ribosomal RNA", at positions 338 to 916 of the family's 1533-position model. The record is from RNAcentral.